Molecule: transfer RNA, 58 nt
Filed under: Corynebacterium diphtheriae
Lineage: Bacteria; Bacillati; Actinomycetota; Actinomycetes; Mycobacteriales; Corynebacteriaceae
Description: tRNA-Pro
Rfam family: tRNA
About the family: Transfer RNA (tRNA) molecules are approximately 80 nucleotides in length.
Source: RNAcentral
UGGCGCAGCUUGGUAGCGCGCCUCGUUCGGGACGAGGAGGUCGCAGGUUCAAAUCCUG